GAUGAACGCUGGCGGCGUGCCUAAUACAUGCAAGUCGAACGGAAAGGCCUCUUCGGAGGUACUCGAGUGGCGGACGGCUGAGUAACGCGUAGGAAUGUACCCCAAAGUGAGGAAUAACCUCGAGAAAUCGAGGCUAAUACCGCAUGUGCUCUAAGGAGUAAAGCUUCGGCGCUUUGGGAACAGCCUGCGUAAGAUUAGCUUGUUGGUGAGGUAAUGGCUCACCAAGGCGACGAUCUUUAGCUGGUCUGAGAGGAUGAUCAGCCAGACUGGGACUGAGACACGGCCCAGACUCCUACGGGAGGCAGCAGUAGGGAAUUUUCCACAAUGGACGAAAGUCUGAUGGAGCAACGCCGCGUGCAGGAUGAAGGCCCUUGGGUUGUAAACUGCUUUUAUAUGUGAAGAUAAUGACGGUAGCAUAUGAAUAAGGAUCGGCUAACUCCGUGCCAGCCGCCGCUGUAA
This 459-nucleotide ribosomal RNA is filed under the name uncultured bacterium. RNAcentral's name for it is "partial 16S ribosomal RNA". It matches the Rfam family "Bacterial small subunit ribosomal RNA", at positions 28 to 523 of the family's 1533-position model. The record is from RNAcentral.